This 403-nucleotide ribosomal RNA is filed under the name uncultured Chytridiomycota. RNAcentral's name for it is "partial small subunit ribosomal RNA". It matches the Rfam family "Eukaryotic small subunit ribosomal RNA", at positions 30 to 432 of the family's 1831-position model. The record is from RNAcentral. Lineage: Eukaryota; Fungi; Chytridiomycota.
GCUUGUCUCAAAGAUUAAGCCAUGCAUGUCUAAGUAUAAACGACUUUAUACAGUGAAACUGCGAAUGGCUCAUUAAAUCAGUUAUAGUUUAUUUGAUAAUACCUUACUACUUGGAUAACCGUGGUAAUUCUAGAGCUAAUACAUGCUACACAACCCGACUUCUGGAAGGGUGGUACUGAUUAGAUACAAAACCAAUCCGGGCAACCGGUCCUUUGGUGAUUCAUGAUAACUUUGCGAAUCGCAUAGCUUUAAUGCUGGCGAUGGGUCAUUCAAAUUUCUGCCCUAUCAACUUUCGACGGUAGGAUAGAGGCCUACUGUGGUGAUAACGGGUAACGAAGAAUAAGGGUUCGAUUUCGGAGAGGGAGCCUGAGAAACGGCUACCACAUCCAAGGAAGGCAGCAGG